Long non-coding RNA from Acinonyx jubatus (cheetah), 935 nucleotides. RefSeq lists it as uncharacterized. NCBI's taxonomy places the organism in Eukaryota, Metazoa, Chordata, Mammalia, Carnivora, Felidae. The record is from RefSeq and is a predicted model, not a curated record. The transcript has 3 exons.
UUGCACACAAGAGGUUGUUAACUCUGGCAGUCUCACCAGAUUCGGGUAUGUUCUCAUUGUCUCUUCAGUCUCCCCAGCCAAAUCCUAAUGGGGGAAUGAGUCUGUGCCUAUGAGGUCGUCGGGAGGGGCUGUGGAACAUGCAAUCAGGAAAGAAAAGGAAUGGUCUUUUCCUCCUAUGAAACCUGGAGCAUGAUAACCGCUCUGGGUCUAUACGAACACUGUCGGAGGCUCUCAGACAACAGGGACGGGUCAUAGCCUACAUAUGAAAAUGUACAUGUGGGUAAAUGGCCCAAUCCUCAGUAGACUGAGGUUCAUAGAGCGUGUGUGGGAUGAGCCUCGGAUGGGACUGGGAGAGCAGAGUGGACCGAUGCAUGGCUCUUCUGCCCCGGGUCCGGGGAAAAGGGUGAGCAUUCUGGACCCCAGGGACGUGCUGCUUCUCUAAAGCCUCGGUUGACAAGGGCAAACACCACCUAACCCCUUAAUCCAGUCUCUAGAAACAACAAGAUCAUCUGUCACCAUUAUUUAAAAUGCACAGAAACCCAAACCAACCAACAAGCAUCAACCCCUUACUUCUAGCAGGCAUUGUGCUCUGCAAGGGAUAAAAUAAGCCUCUGAAGCAACAGCUCACAGGAACUGGAAGAGAGCCACACGUGGUCUCGGGGAUGCCUGGGACAGGAGCUGAGGUAGGAAUCUGAGACAGAGAUCUCCAGCUGCUUCACCUGCCCCCAGUCUCAGUUGGCCUGGGAAGUCCCUUUCAUGUCCUGGGGCAAGUCCUAUGUAGCAUUAUCAUGGACAACACGGUCAUGCAGCCACAGAGCCACAGACAGGGUGGGACAGUCAGCUUGGCAACUCAUUAUCACUAAUCUAUAAACGCCCCCCAAACAUCGCAGCAAUCCAUGUCCACUGAUUCCGUCCCAGUGUGUUUGAGGGAGAAA